AAUAAACCAAGAAAGUUAACAAUAAUACUAACUGUAAAAUAAAAAUAAAUUAAAUAUAAUAAUUUGAAUAAUACUUGUAAACAGUAUCACGCAUUAGUCGGGUUACAAUUUGAAUAUUCGUCUCUCUGUAAUUUGAAAUUAUGAAGAGAGGGAACUUAUUAAAUAAGAGGCGCUAGAUGAGCGUGAACAUUUUGUAAUAUUCAAUUUCAUUAAAAGCGUUAAAAGAACUUUAAAUAAUAAAAGGUGAAAGAAUUAAUAGUGUGAUAUAUGGGACAACAUAUAUACAAGGCUUGCAGUUAAGUGUAAUCCAUUAUACUUUAAUAUAAAGGUUGCUGCACUCAUUUAGGUUAUUUUUUUUUAGAUUGUGUUCAAUUAACAUACAAUGGAAUUAGAUAUGAAAAGUUCAUGGAUAGAAUUGACAGAUGAAGAUGAUGCUCUUCUAAAUGAAGCCAUUUGUAUGAGUUCAAAUGAAUUGAGUAAAAUAGUAAACUCCGAUAAGGAGACCAAAAAUACUCAGGAGUCUUUAGAUAUAAUAAUACCUGAACCUAAAACCUAUGUUAAUAAAGAUGAAAAGGAUAAAGAAGAUGUUACUUCAAAUGUAUGUGUAAAUAACAGGUCUUACUGUAAAGAAAUUGAAACAAAAAGUAUAAAUGGCAUACAGUAUGAAGAUAAUGUAAAGAAUAAGUUAGAAGACUUAAAUAAUCUUCGUAAAAGACCUAGAGAAGGUACUACAAAUUAUGAGGAUGUAAAAGUUUUUCGUACCAGAUACUAUAGUGAUUCAAGUUCUACCACUAAUUCCUCAGAUUGUGGUAAAAAACAAGUAGAAUAUGAAACUGAUCCUAAAGUCUUAGCUCGUAGACAGAAAGAAAUAGAUUAUGGGAAAAAUACCAUUGGAUAUGAUAAAUACAUUCAGGCUGUGCCUAAAGAAAAACGUACUAAAGAGCAUCCAAAAACACCACCAAAGUACAUUAAAUAUAGUAGAAGAGGAUGGGAUGGCAUGAUGAGGUUGUGGAGGAAACAACUUCAUCAGUGGGAUCCUCCACAAGACAACAGUCCCAAUUAGAUGAAAGUUGUAUGAAUGUUAUAUUACAAUGCACAUGAUGUGGAUGACUGAACAGCAUUGGUGAUAUUGUUCCCUUCAUUAUUUAAGGUUCUUCACAUAAAGGAGCCACAGUGAAGGCAUCAUGAAAUUGUUUAUUAUUACUGAUAUGCCAGUUACACGAAAUUUGUAGAAAAUCCUUAUUUAACAACAAAGAAUUGUCAUUUUGCCCAUUGUUUGUAACUUCCAUUGCAUACAACAGAUUCGUGUAAUGAAUCAAUAAAUACUAUUUCAUUCUUAUCAUUUU
Non-coding RNA from Osmia lignaria (orchard mason bee), 1346 nucleotides. Lineage: Eukaryota; Metazoa; Arthropoda; Insecta; Hymenoptera; Megachilidae. The record is from RefSeq and is a predicted model, not a curated record.